UUUUUAUCUCUUCCAUUUGCUUGUUUACCUGUUCAGCCAAGUUGCUUUACAACUGAGUGGGUUUUGAAUAAACAGGGUCCUGGGCGGUCAAAUAUUUGACUCAGCUCAAGUGGAAUAUUUUCAUUGCUUUUCACUUCAUUGAACAUGAGGGUCAGUUUGACAGGUCAACAUGGGUUUGCCUAAUGGUUCACCUUGUACCAAUCCAGGAGAGGAGUGGAUGGAAGGGAGAGAACUCUUCUCAGCAGUUUAGGAACCUGGGAACUGAUUGGCUAAUUAUUUACCAGUUGCGUCGUAAUGGGCCAUUUGUCUGGCCUUUCUAAAUCCUCAUUUCAUCAUCUGUCAAAAGAGUGAAAGAAUACUGCCUAGCUCAUGGCACAGCUGAGUGAAUUACAUGAUAAAUAAAAACUCAGUGCAUAGCAAGAAUUGAACCAAACAAAAGAUACAGGGACUGGGAGAAAAUAUCUGCACUCCAUGUAUUUGAGAAGGGGUUAAGAUCCAAAACACUUAAGGAAUUCAUACAACUUAAUAGCAAGAAAACAAAUAGCCUGAUUAAAAAAAUAGGCAAAAGGUCUGCAUAGAUAUUUCUCAAAAGAAAUUAUACAAAUGCCUAGCAAAUCGAUGAAAAAAAAAUGCUCAACACUACUAAUCACCCAGGAAAUGUAAAAUCAAACCACAAAGAUA
RNAcentral lists this long non-coding RNA (681 nucleotides) under Marmota monax (woodchuck). Lineage: Eukaryota; Metazoa; Chordata; Mammalia; Rodentia; Sciuridae. The record is from RNAcentral.